Molecule: transfer RNA, 72 nt
Filed under: Daphnia magna
Lineage: Eukaryota; Metazoa; Arthropoda; Branchiopoda; Diplostraca; Daphniidae
Rfam family: tRNA
About the family: Transfer RNA (tRNA) molecules are approximately 80 nucleotides in length. Their secondary structure includes four short double-helical elements and three loops (D, anti-codon, and T loops).
Source: Rfam by way of RNAcentral
GCGAUGGUGGUAUAGUGGUAGGCAUGGUUGCCUUUCAAGUAAAUGACCCGAGUUCGAUUCUCGGUUAUCGCA